Molecule: small nuclear RNA, 125 nt
Organism: Neomonachus schauinslandi (Hawaiian monk seal)
Lineage: Eukaryota; Metazoa; Chordata; Mammalia; Carnivora; Phocidae
Source: RefSeq, a predicted model, not a curated record
GUGUUGUAUGAAAGGAGAGAAGGUGAGCCGUCCCCUUGACAAGGAUGGAAGAGGCCGUUGAGCCUGAUGCCCGCACACCGGCAAGGCAUUGCUGCCUCCCUGGUGGCACCUGAGCAUCAUCUUUU